Molecule: ribosomal RNA, 57 nt
Filed under: Coprinellus ellisii
Lineage: Eukaryota; Fungi; Basidiomycota; Agaricomycetes; Agaricales; Psathyrellaceae
Description: partial 28S ribosomal RNA
Source: RNAcentral
CGCUUCUAACCGUCCGCGAGGACAAUACCUUGACAAUUUGACCUCAAAUCAGGUAGG